RNAcentral lists this ribosomal RNA (941 nucleotides) under Halobacillus sp. 34 JDE-2009. Its description in RNAcentral is "bacterial SSU rRNA". It matches the Rfam family "Bacterial small subunit ribosomal RNA", at positions 44 to 941 of the family's 1533-position model. The record is from RNAcentral. Lineage: Bacteria; Bacillati; Bacillota; Bacilli; Caryophanales; Bacillaceae.
GUGCCUAUUACAUGCAAGUUCGAGCGCGGGGAAGCGAGCGGCAUCCCCUUCGGGGGUGAAGCUCGUGGGAACGAGCGGCGGACGGGUUGAGUAACACGUGGGACAACCUACCUGUAAGAUCGGAAUAACCCCGGGUAAACCGGGGCUAAUGCCGGGUAAUACUUUUCUUCGCAUGAAGGAAAGUUGAAAGAUGGCCUCUGGCUAUCACUUACAGAUGGGCCCGCGGCGCAUUAGCUAGUUGGUGAGGKAACGGCUCACCAAGGCAACGAUGCGUAGCCGACCUGAGAGGGUGAUCGGCCACACUGGGACUGAGACACGGCCCAGACUCCUACGGGAGGCAGCAGUAGGGAAUCUUCCGCAAUGGACGAAAGUCUGACGGAGCAACGCCGCGUGAACGAUGAAGGUCUUCGGAUCGUAAAGUUCUGUUGUUAGGGAAGAACAAGUGCCGUGCGAAUAGAGCGGCACCUUGACGGUACCUAACGAGGAAGCCCCGGCUAACUACGUGCCAGCAGCCGCGGUAAUACGUAGGGGGCAAGCGUUGUCCGGAAUUAUUGGGCGUAAAGCGCGCGCAGGCGGUUCCUUAAGUCUGAUGUGAAAGCCCACGGCUCAACCGUGGAGGGUCAUUGGAAACUGGGGAACUUGAGGACAGAAGAGGAGAGUGGAAUUCCACGUGUAGCGGUGAAAUGCGUAGAUAUGUGGAGGAACACCAGUGGCGAAGGCGACUCUCUGGUCUGUUUCUGACGCUGAGGUGCGAAAGCGUGGGUAGCAAACAGGAUUAGAUACCCUGGUAGUCCACGCCGUAAACGAUGAGUGCUAGGUGUUAGGGGGCUUCCACCCCUUAGNGGUGAAGUUAACGCAUUAAGCACUCCGCCUGGGGAGUACGGCCGCAAGGCUGAAACUCAAAGGAAUUGAUCGGGGGCCCGCACAAGCGGUGAGCAUUG